AUGAAGCCUCUGACGCGGAAGGAGUGGACGGCCAUCGGCGGCUACAACGCGUUCCUGGCGACCAAGCUGCCGCCGGAGCACCGCAUCUACGACCCGGACAAGGAGACGGUCGACUCCGGCAUGUCGACGUUCCUCACGGCGUUCCCCAGGGGCUUCGCCAUCGAGGUGCUCGACGUGUACAGCGGCCCGCCAAGGGUCACCUUCAAGUUCCGGCACUGGGGUUACAUGGAGGGGCCGUUCAAGGGGCACCCCCCACACGGCCAGCGCAUCGAGUUCUUUGGCGUCUGCAUUUUCCACGUUGACGAGGAGAUGAAGGUGGAGAAGGCGGAGUACUUCUACGAGCGCGGCAACUUCCUCGCAAGCUUCCUGAGCGCGCCUGCUGCUGCAUCGGCUUCGGGUUGCCCUGUGAUGAGAGGAAACUGA
This 423-nucleotide ribosomal RNA is filed under the name Triticum aestivum (bread wheat). Its description in RNAcentral is "partial small subunit ribosomal RNA". The record is from RNAcentral. Lineage: Eukaryota; Viridiplantae; Streptophyta; Magnoliopsida; Poales; Poaceae.